CAUCAAAAUAUAUAUGCUCCAUGAGAAUCACAACAACAGCUUGGUCUGCAAGAAACUGCUCCUUGCACUUGGCCGUUUCCUUGAACUCUGCCUCAUCUUUUCGAAUUGUGAAAUUCAUCUCAUGCGAGACAAGCCAGGAACAGCGAUGUAAGCCUGCGCGCAUGGUUGACCAGGCCAUGAGCUGGAUGUUAAGGCGUGACUAAAAUUGCCUGAUUGAAGAGAUUUAUUCUUUUCAAUGUUAAGCAAGUACGUACUAGAAACAGACAAGAGAAGCAAUAAGAAGUUGUACUCAUUCUUUCCAAGUUGGCUGUGCAGCCAACCAUCAAAGUCAUGUGGAUGUUAGCUGGAUAUUAAUUAACUGCAUGCUUGAUGAGAUAUUUUUCAAGUUAAGUAAAAAAGUUGGUUCCUGGCUCAAUUUCUAAAUGUUCAGAAGAUUAGCUACAACUAAGCCUGCAUCUUGAUCUAAAAAAAAGGCUGAACUUAUGAGAAAACAACUACAUAUGUUUCUGCCCUUGAAAAACUGUACAGGAAGAAAAGAAAAAGAGAUAAUGCAUGGACUAGAUCACCACUUGAAAAAGAAGGCUCCAAGCUGCUUACCUCCUCCUCUGCAGCAGCUGGGACCCAACGAGUAGAGCACCAUGCCACCACGUCCAUGUAAGUAGCCACGGGGAGCAA
RNAcentral lists this long non-coding RNA (675 nucleotides) under Triticum aestivum (bread wheat). RNAcentral describes it as "long non-coding RNA (TAES_LNC008256)". Lineage: Eukaryota; Viridiplantae; Streptophyta; Magnoliopsida; Poales; Poaceae. The record is from RNAcentral.